Equus caballus (horse) is the source of this 361-nucleotide long non-coding RNA. NCBI's taxonomy places the organism in Eukaryota, Metazoa, Chordata, Mammalia, Perissodactyla, Equidae. The record is from Ensembl.
CAGAUUUCUUCAAGAGCAGACUGAGACAUUGCUGGAGACUCCUUGUGGAAAGAGGCAAGAGCCAAAGGAACUCAGAAACUUGAGCUGUACUUGACCUUGAACGGAAUGACGGUGCAUACAGCUUUGGUUCCUGCUGGCGACCACAUUGCAACCUUAAAGGCUGAGAGUCUUAGGAUGACGUUGACACCAUGGAGGAGGGUGGAGAGACAAAAAGAAACAAGGCAGAACAGAUGGAUCAGACCCUGCAGAAAGCCCACCCACCUCGAAAUUUUUUACUGUCACAGACCAAUAGACAACUUUUAUUGUUUAAGCCAGUUUGAGCUAUGUUUUCUGCUAUUGCAAUAAAGACCAUCCAUCCUCC